CUACUUCUGCGAUUUCUGUGACUUCUGCUACUUCUGCGAUUUCUGUGAUUCCUGCGAUUUCUGCGACUUACCACCGUAUGAGAAAGUUACAUCUGUCAACACAGAAAAUUGCAUCUCAACAAACCUGUCUUUGGCAAGUACCUGAACUACAUUUCAGUCACUCAGUAAAGUGAUAACUCAAAAUAUCAUUGUCAACAGAUCUGAAGAAAUUGCCACUGCGUCUUUAGACCGUUUUCGUCAGACGAGAGACACAGUUCUGACUCUGAUUACUGGUUGCUGUACGUAUCUAUCCACAUCAAGGCUGUUUUUGAGAGAGACUCGUGAAGAUUCAAGACAGUUCUUAGAGGAUUUGCAGUUUAAAAGUGAAAUAAUUGUGAAAUAAGUGUGUGAAUGAUUAAACUGUGUUUUAUUGAAGUUGUUGUGCGAUUU
Long non-coding RNA from Schistocerca cancellata (South American locust), 429 nucleotides. RefSeq lists it as uncharacterized. The record is from RefSeq and is a predicted model, not a curated record. NCBI's taxonomy places the organism in Eukaryota, Metazoa, Arthropoda, Insecta, Orthoptera, Acrididae. The transcript has 3 exons.